RNAcentral lists this ribosomal RNA (252 nucleotides) under uncultured Bacteroidales bacterium. Its description in RNAcentral is "partial 16S ribosomal RNA". It matches the Rfam family "Bacterial small subunit ribosomal RNA", at positions 524 to 776 of the family's 1533-position model. The record is from RNAcentral. Lineage: Bacteria; Pseudomonadati; Bacteroidota; Bacteroidia; Bacteroidales.
UACGGAGGAUGCGAGCGUUAUCCGGAUUUAUUGGGUUUAAAGGGUGCGUAGGCGGGAUGCCAAGUCAGCGGUAAAAAUGCGGUGCUCAACGCCGUCGAGCCGUUGAAACUGCCGUGCUAGAGAGGAAGAGAAGUAGGCGGAAUGCGCAGUGUAGCGGUGAAAUGCAUAGAUAUCACGCAGAACUCCGAUUGCGAAGGCAGCAUACCGGCGCCCGACUGACGCUGAGGCACGAAAGCGUGGGGAUCGAACAGG